RNAcentral lists this non-coding RNA (219 nucleotides) under Sphingomonas sp. The record is from RNAcentral. Lineage: Bacteria; Pseudomonadati; Pseudomonadota; Alphaproteobacteria; Sphingomonadales; Sphingomonadaceae.
GCCUUCGAAGAUCGCGCCGGUGCUCCGUAGAAGGAGCUUAAUCGGGAAUGCGGUGCGGGGGUUCACCCCCAAAUCCGCGGCUGUCCCUGCAACUGUGAGCGGAUAGCGCGAUGCACUGGCUCCCCUGGAGGAGCAGCCACUGGGCCGAUCGGGCCUGGGAAGGCGUGCAGCGUGCCGUGACCCGCAAGCCAGGAGACCUGCCGGCGCAACGGUCGCUCU